UACCACUCAGUGUUAUCAAGACCAAGUCGC
This 30-nucleotide non-coding RNA is filed under the name Mus musculus (house mouse). Lineage: Eukaryota; Metazoa; Chordata; Mammalia; Rodentia; Muridae. The record is from RNAcentral.